Long non-coding RNA from Corvus hawaiiensis (hawaiian crow), 639 nucleotides. RefSeq lists it as uncharacterized. The record is from RefSeq and is a predicted model, not a curated record. The transcript has 2 exons. Lineage: Eukaryota; Metazoa; Chordata; Aves; Passeriformes; Corvidae.
GGCUCCGGGCGGGGCCGCUGCGGCCGCGCUCCGCUCCAGGAGGGGGGGAAAAAAAUCCCUCAAACCCCCACUGGACACGGGGAGGCUCCCCCGGCCCCGGCGAUGCUGCGGCGGCCGCAGUUCCAGCCCCCCCGAGCCCCCCGGGACCGGCCCGGAGAGGGAUGGAGCGCGGCCCCGAGGCACCCAAAACCAGCCGGCCCUGAGGCCCAGCUGUUCAAGGAUUCACAUGACUGAAAUCCAGGAACACUUGCUCAGGGCAGCUCGGAUUUGAUUCCCCACACCAGAUGUGCCUCUAGAAAAAAAAAAGGCCUUUGUGGGAUCAUCACCCUGCCCCAGCUUUCCCAGCUUCCCACCAGCACAGACAGGCUGGAGCAGCUGUGGGAGGAUGGAUGGAGAAUCCCUGGAGUCGCUGUGCAGCUGGGGCACGGGUGGAGAGAGCCCUCAGACCCUCCUCCCCAGUGCUCUCUCUCCCCUGCAGCAGCAGAGCUUGAAAAAAAAAAAAGAUACUCCACUUAAAAAGAAAAAAUUAAUAUAUUCUGCAUAAAUUUUUAAGAGAGGGUGAAGUCAUCCUUGGUUUUUCCUGGCGCUGCAGAGAAUCCCAUUCAAGCAGACAUCAAAAUAAAAAUUCAUCAAAAUAAA